GGUGCGCGCGCUGGGGCUCGCGUCAGCUGGCGGCGGCGCGCGCGCGCGCGCGCGGCGCGGCCUCCCCUCCCCCAGGGCCCCCUAGCCUGCGGCUCCCCGAGGUGGGCGCGUGCGGGCUUGACGGGGGCGGAGCCUGGAGCCGGGCGCGCGCCGGGGCGUCCCUCUCCGCCCCCGCCCCCGCCUGGCGCGCUGGCAGCGCGGACCUCCUGGUCAAUGGGAGCGCGGGACUCGGCCGCCCGCGCGGCGGUCAGGUGGGCCCCCUAGCUCCGCGCCGCUUCGUUCGCACUCCCGCUUCCGCUCCAUCUUGGCUCCAGCAGCUCGGCUUCUUGGUUACUCUCCAGCUGCCGGGGCCGUGGCAGCCGGGACCAAGUGACCUCAGCGAACGCGAGGAGACAGUGGGUCUGAGUAAACUCGCGUUCCCGAGAAUUUGCUUGGGGCGUGGGGGCAGAUGCGGAUUGUCCGCUUCCUGCGACCCACAAACAUUAAUUGAGCACCUAGUAUGUGAGGGAGGAAGCUGUGAGGAGAGGAACACAGCAGGAUGAGACAAAGCCAGGGCCUGGUCUCAAGGAGCCUCUGCUUCCCUGUGCCGUCGCGGACCCUGCUCCGAGAUUCCCGGCCAUAGGUUGCUAGGAUGAUUAUGCUGAUCCAUCUGAUACAGGGAAAAAACUCAGCAACUUCUCCCAGAUUCUGCUAUCCCUACAAGGCUGCAUCUGAAAGACCAAAGAGAAACUGACAAUCCAAGAUGGACAAGCAAACCAAAUUAAAUACUUCGAAAAGGCAAGUUAAAAUUUGAGGGCAUCAAAGGGUGUGAUGCCUGAAAAGAGCCCUGAAACUCGCGCUCAUGCACACACCCAUACACUCAAUCAGUGAGUGUAUUCACGCAGCUGGACUUCCGGAGUCUCAGGAGGAAAUGCAGUUGAGUUACUUUGUUUAUACAAAAUUCGAUGUAACCCUCUCCAAGAGCCCUGUGCCUCUGAAAUUCUGUUUGCUAAAAUAAUGGUCAGAAGCAGUUUGUGUUCACAAAACCAAACUCAGUGUUUCCCUAAGAUCAAAUAUUCCAUGACAGAUUUUAUCCCCAAAUUCGGAGAAAAAAUGAGAAGAAUGCAAAGAUUAAUCCUCAGAGGCCCUUCAAUAAGCCUUUCCU
Molecule: long non-coding RNA, 1144 nt
Organism: Mirounga angustirostris (Northern elephant seal)
Lineage: Eukaryota; Metazoa; Chordata; Mammalia; Carnivora; Phocidae
Exons: 3
Source: RefSeq, a predicted model, not a curated record